This 229-nucleotide unclassified non-coding RNA is filed under the name Hevea brasiliensis (rubber tree). Lineage: Eukaryota; Viridiplantae; Streptophyta; Magnoliopsida; Malpighiales; Euphorbiaceae. The record is from RNAcentral.
GUUGUAAUUCCUGUGUUUUUAGUUGUUUGGGGCAUAGAAAAGUGGAUUUUCUCUCUGACCAAUUGGGUUCCUCUAGUUGUGGCUGUUUGGGCUGUUUUUCAGUACGGAAGUUACCAACGCAAAAUUCUUGCAGAAGACUUGAAUAAUAAAUGGAAGCAAGUGUUGCUGGAGACAUCUCCAACAACACCUUUGGAGCAGUGUGAGUGGCUGAAUAAGCUAUUAAUUGAAG